RNAcentral lists this ribosomal RNA (253 nucleotides) under uncultured bacterium. RNAcentral describes it as "partial 16S ribosomal RNA". It matches the Rfam family "Bacterial small subunit ribosomal RNA", at positions 524 to 776 of the family's 1533-position model. The record is from RNAcentral.
UACGUAGGCAGCAAGCGUUGUUCGGAAUUACUGGGCGUAAAGAGUGUGUAGGCGGUGCUCUAAGUUUGUCGUGAAAUCUCCCGGCUUAACUGGGAGGGUGCGGCGAAAACUGGAGUGCUAGAGGGUGGGAGAGGAAAGCGGAAUUCCUGGUGUAGCGGUGAAAUGCGUAGAUAUCAGGAGGAACACCUGCGGUGUAGACAGCUUUCUGGACCACUUCUGACGCUGAGACACGAAAGCGUGGGUAGCAAACAGG